AGAGUUUGAUCAUGGCUCAGAUUGAACGCUGGCGGCAGGCCUAACACAUGCAAGUCGAACGGUAGCAUUUCUAGCUUGCUAGAAGAUGACGAGUGGCGGACGGGUGAGUAAUGCUUGGGAACUUGCCUUUGCGAGGGGGAUAACAGUUGGAAACGACUGCUAAUACCGCAUAAUGUCUUCGGACCAAACGGGGCUUAGGCUCCGGCGCAAAGAGAGGCCCAAGUGAGAUUAGCUAGUUGGUAAGGUAACGGCUUACCAAGGCGACGAUCUCUAGCUGUUCUGAGAGGAAGAUCAGCCACACUGGGACUGAGACACGGCCCAGACUCCUACGGGAGGCAGCAGUGGGGAAUAUUGCACAAUGGGGGGAACCCUGAUGCAGCCAUGCCGCGUGUGUGAAGAAGGCCUUCGGGUUGUAAAGCACUUUCAGUUGUGAGGAAAAGUUAGUAGUUAAUACCUGCUAGCCGUGACGUUAACAACAGAAGAAGCACCGGCUAACUCCGUGCCAGCAGCCGCGGUAAUACGGAGGGUGCGAGCGUUAAUCGGAAUUACUGGGCGUAAAGCGCACGCAGGCGGUUUGUUAAGCUAGAUGUGAAAGCCCCGGGCUCAACCUGGGAUGGUCAUUUAGAACUGGCAGACUAGAGUCUUGGAGAGGGGAGUGGAAUUCCAGGUGUAGCGGUGAAAUGCGUAGAUAUCUGGAGGAACAUCAGUGGCGAAGGCGACUCCCUGGCCAAAGACUGACGCUCAUGUGCGAAAGUGUGGGUAGCGAACAGGAUU
Molecule: ribosomal RNA, 774 nt
Filed under: uncultured marine microorganism
Description: bacterial SSU rRNA
Rfam family: Bacterial small subunit ribosomal RNA
Source: RNAcentral